This 64-nucleotide small nucleolar RNA is filed under the name Tetranychus urticae (two-spotted spider mite). RNAcentral's name for it is "snoRNA tetur05g09304". The record is from RNAcentral. Lineage: Eukaryota; Metazoa; Arthropoda; Arachnida; Trombidiformes; Tetranychidae.
CAUAUUUUAUGAUGAGAUAUACAUGCACCACUCUGAUCUCUCAAGUUCAACCGUGAGGAUAUUU